This 253-nucleotide ribosomal RNA is filed under the name uncultured bacterium. RNAcentral describes it as "partial 16S ribosomal RNA". It matches the Rfam family "Bacterial small subunit ribosomal RNA", at positions 524 to 776 of the family's 1533-position model. The record is from RNAcentral.
CACGUAGGGGACGAGCGUUGUCCGGAUUCAUUGGGCGUAAAGCGCGCGUAGGCGGCUCGGAAAGUCGGUCGUGAAAUGCCGGGGCUCAACCCCGGGACUGCGUCCGAUACUUCCGGGCUGGAGGUAGGUAGGGGAGAUCGGAAUUCCUGGUGUAGCGGUGAAAUGCGCAGAUAUCUGGAGGAACACCGGUGGCGAAGGCGGCAUCCUGGACCGACACUGACGCUGAGGAGCGAAAGCCAGGGGAGCAAACGGG